UACAUGUAUAAAUGUAACCUAGAUACAUAUAUAUAUAUAUAUAUAUGUAAAGAAAGGAGGCUUUCUUUGUUAGGCGUGCCGCGUGACACACGCUGUGCACGGUUCGUGGAAUUAGCCUCCUUUAGAUGGAUAGAAGUGCUACUGAACAUAUAGACUGAGAAUUAUAAGUAGAUUUGGUUAAGUGUGGAUAAGAAGAGAUAUAAUAAUCUUUAAUUGUCGUUUCUUUGUGUGUGUGUUUUGCAGAGAAACACAUUUGGUUAUUAUUAUUCAAGAAAGAUUGAAUUUCCCUUAUAUAUAUAUGACGUACCUUAUUAUCUCCUAAAUGUAGGAUCUUUAAUUUGGGUAAUUGUGUAGAUAUUCGUGAACAAUAUCUAACACUAUCUCUAUAAUGGCUGGUCGAGAUAGAGGGCAAAAGUAAUCCGUAAUAAGAUCUACAAAAAAUAUUGUGAAUUGAAUAUUUCUUCACAUAAAGAAACAAAAAAAUCCUAAAAGAUUAAU
Molecule: long non-coding RNA, 498 nt
Organism: Polistes canadensis
Lineage: Eukaryota; Metazoa; Arthropoda; Insecta; Hymenoptera; Vespidae
Exons: 3
Source: RefSeq, a predicted model, not a curated record